CCUUGAAAUACCACCCUUUAAUGUUUGAUGUUCUAACGUGGACCCGUGAUCCGGGUUGCGGACAGUGUCUGGUGGGUAGUUUGACUGGGGCGGUCUCCUCCUAAAGAGUAACGGAGGAGCACGAAGGUUGGCUAAUCCUGGUCGGACAUCAGGAGGUUAGUGCAAUGGCAUAAGCCAGCUUGACUGCGAGCGUGACGGCGCGAGCAGGUGCGAAAGCAGGUCAUAGUGAUCCGGUGGUUCUGAAUGGAAGGGCCAUCGCUCAACGGAUAAAAGGUACUCCGGGGAUAACAGGCUGAUACCGCCCAAGAGUUCAUAUCGACGGCGGUGUUUGGCACCUCGAUGUCGGCUCAUCACAUCCUGGGGCUGAAGUAGGUCCCAAGGGUAUGGCUGUUCGCCAUUUAAAGUGGUACGCGAGCUGGGUUUAGAACGUCGUGAGACAGUUCGGUCCCUAUCUGCCGUGGGCGCUGGAGAACUGAGGGGGGCUGCUCCUAGUACGAGAGGACCGGAGUGGACGCAUCACUGGUGUUCGGGUUGUCAUGCCAAUGGCACUGCCCGGUAGCUAAAUGCGGAAGAGAUAAGUGCUGAAAGCAUCUAAGCACGAAACUUGCCCCGAGAUGAGUUCUCCCUGAGACUUAAAGUCUCCUGAAGGAACGUUGAAGACGACGACGUUGAUA
Molecule: ribosomal RNA, 674 nt
Filed under: Salmonella enterica subsp. enterica serovar Give
Lineage: Bacteria; Pseudomonadati; Pseudomonadota; Gammaproteobacteria; Enterobacterales; Enterobacteriaceae
Description: partial 23S ribosomal RNA
Rfam family: Bacterial large subunit ribosomal RNA
Source: RNAcentral